GUGAACGCUGGCGGUAGGCCUAACACAUGCAAGUCGAACGGCAGCACAGUAAGAGCUUGCUCUUACGGGUGGCGAGUGGCGGACGGGUGAGGAAUACAUCGGAAUCUACUUUUUCGUGGGGGAUAACGUAGGGAAACUUACGCUAAUACCGCAUACGACCUACGGAUGAAAGCAGGGGAUCUUCGGACCUUGCGCGAUUGAAUGAGCCGAUGUCGGAUUAGCUAGUUGGCGGGGUAAAGGCCCACCAAGGCGACGAUCCGUAGCUGGUCUGAGAGGAUGAUCAGCCACACUGGAACUGAGACACGGUCCAGACUCCUACGGGAGGCAGCAGUGGGGAAUAUUGGACAAUGGGCGCAAGCCUGAUCCAGCCAUACCGCGUGGGUGAAGAAGGCCUUCGGGUUGUAAAGCCCUUUUGUUGGGAAAGAAAAGCAGCAGGUUAAUACCCCGCUGUCCUGACGGUACCCAAAGAAUAAGCACCGGCUAACUUCGUG
RNAcentral lists this ribosomal RNA (491 nucleotides) under uncultured bacterium. Its description in RNAcentral is "partial 16S ribosomal RNA". It matches the Rfam family "Bacterial small subunit ribosomal RNA", at positions 29 to 507 of the family's 1533-position model. The record is from RNAcentral.